RNAcentral lists this ribosomal RNA (234 nucleotides) under uncultured bacterium. Its description in RNAcentral is "partial 16S ribosomal RNA". It matches the Rfam family "Bacterial small subunit ribosomal RNA", at positions 524 to 757 of the family's 1533-position model. The record is from RNAcentral.
UACGAAGGACCCGAGCGUUAUCCGGAUUUAUUGGGUUUAAAGGGUGCGUAGGCGUCUUGGAAAGUUACGGUUGAAAUCUCCUUGCUCAACAAGGAAACUGGCCGUAAAACUAUCAGGAUUGAGUACAUUUGAAGCGGGCGGAAUGUGUCAUGUAGCGGUGAAAUGCUUAGAUAUGACACAGAACACCAAUUGCGAAGGCAGCUCGCUAAACUGUAACUGACGCUGAGGCACGAA